Benincasa hispida (wax gourd) is the source of this 405-nucleotide long non-coding RNA. RefSeq lists it as uncharacterized. The record is from RefSeq and is a predicted model, not a curated record. NCBI's taxonomy places the organism in Eukaryota, Viridiplantae, Streptophyta, Magnoliopsida, Cucurbitales, Cucurbitaceae.
CAUAGAAUUCAUCCCAAAAAGAGAAAAAAGAAAAUUUUAAAAGAGAGUUUUGAUGCCAAUGGGUUUAAAGAGAGAGUCCAUAUUAUUUUUUAGUGUUAUGCUUCUUCUCCUUUUAUGUAUGGCAGCAGGGAGACUCAUCCAUACUACUUUACUUCAUGCAGAUCAUGAGACGAUGAAUAUGGAUGGGAAGAAUAGGGAUGGGAGUCGACUUCUGAGUUCGGCUCUGCCUAGAGGUGGCAACUAUAUUGACAACCCACAGGUGGCAAACAAGGUCGCGGUCCAUCGCUCCGGCUACCACCCAUGACGACGGCUAUCGAAACUGGUUAUGAGAAAGUGUAGUACUUGAUUUAUUAUAUAUAUUGUGGCCGAGGUAUUAUGAAUAAACAAGGGUUUUAUAAGUCCAAC